CAAAGAUUAAGCGUUGCAUGU
This 21-nucleotide unclassified non-coding RNA is filed under the name Acacia synchronicia. Its description in RNAcentral is "partial small subunit rRNA". The record is from RNAcentral. Lineage: Eukaryota; Viridiplantae; Streptophyta; Magnoliopsida; Fabales; Fabaceae.